RNAcentral lists this unclassified non-coding RNA (339 nucleotides) under soil metagenome. RNAcentral describes it as "partial contains 5.8S ribosomal RNA, internal transcribed spacer 2, and large subunit ribosomal RNA". The stretch from base 1 to 120 matches the Rfam family "5.8S ribosomal RNA", at positions 35 to 154 of the family's 154-position model. The record is from RNAcentral.
GAUGAAGAACGUAGCGAAAUGCGAUAAGUAAUGCGAAUUGCAGAAUUCCGUGAGUCAUCGAAUCUUUGAACGCACAUUGCACCCUCUGGUAUUCCGGAGGGCAUGCCUGUCUGAGCGUCAUUGUCAACCCUCAAGCUCAGCUUGCUGUUGGGUCCCCGUCGUUGCUUUAACGGCGGACCCGAAAGGUAAUGGCAGAGUCCGUGAGACCCUAGACGCAGCGAGCUUCUAGCACGCGUCUGGACGUUUUUCGGGCUCGGUCUUAACUAGAUGAUAACUUCCGAUUGACCUCAGAUCAGGUAGGGAUACCCGCUGAACUUAAGCAUAUCAAUAAGCGGAGGA